CCCCUCUCAGGGUUACACCUGGAGAAUGUCCAGCUCUCUACCAGUCUUGGCUAGAGGAGGGAGAGUCAAGCAGAAGCUUAACCAUUCCAUUCCUAACUUGGGCAGUAGCUAGCAAGUGGAAGGCAAUCUGCUUCAAAU
Molecule: small nucleolar RNA, 138 nt
Organism: Ornithorhynchus anatinus (platypus)
Lineage: Eukaryota; Metazoa; Chordata; Mammalia; Monotremata; Ornithorhynchidae
Source: RefSeq, a predicted model, not a curated record